This 465-nucleotide ribosomal RNA is filed under the name uncultured bacterium. RNAcentral describes it as "bacterial SSU rRNA". It matches the Rfam family "Bacterial small subunit ribosomal RNA", at positions 338 to 795 of the family's 1533-position model. The record is from RNAcentral.
CCUACGGGUCGCAGCAGUGGGGAAUAUUGCACAAUGGGCGCAAGCCUGAUGCAGCCAUGCCGCGUGUAUGAAGAAGGCCUUCGGGUUGUAAAGUACUUUCAGCGGGGAGGAAGGCGGUGAGGUUAAUAACCUCACCGAUUGACGUUACCCGCAGAAGAAGCACCGGCUAACUCCGUGCCAGCAGCCGCGGUAAUACGGAGGGUGCAAGCGUUAAUCGGAAUUACUGGGCGUAAAGCGCACGCAGGCGGUCUGUCAGGUCGGAUGUGAAAUCCCCAGGCUCAACCUGGGAACUGCAUUCGAAACUGGCAGGCCAGAGUCUUGUAGAGGGGGGUAGAAUUCCAGGUGUAGCGGUGAAAUGCGUAGAGAUCUGGAGGAAUACCGGUGGCGCAGGCGGCCCCCUGGACAAAGACUGACGCUCAGGUGCGAAAGCGUGGGGAGCAAACAGGAUUAGAUACCCUUGUAGUC